AUUGAACGCUGGCGGCAUGCUUUACACAUGCAAGUCGAACGGUAACAGGCCGCAAGGUGCUGACGAGUGGCGAACGGGUGAGUAAUGCAUCGGAACGUGCCCAGUCGUGGGGGAUAACUACUCGAAAGAGUAGCUAAUACCGCAUACGAUCUAUGGAUGAAAGCGGGGGACCGUAAGGCCUCGCGCGAUUGGAGCGGCCGAUGUCAGAUUAGGUAGUUGGUGGGGUAAAGGCUCACCAAGCCAACGAUCUGUAGCUGGUCUGAGAGGACGACCAGCCACACUGGGACUGAGACACGGCCAAGACUCCUGCGGGAGGCAGCAGUGGGGAAUUUUGGACAAUGGGCGCAAGCCUGAUCCAGCAAUGCCGCGUGCAGGAAGAAGGCCUUCGGGUUGUAAACUGCUUUUGUACGGAACGAAACGGCUCUGGUUAAUACCCGGGGCUAAUGACGGUACCGUAAGAAUAAGCACCGGCUAACUACGUG
This 482-nucleotide ribosomal RNA is filed under the name uncultured bacterium. RNAcentral describes it as "partial 16S ribosomal RNA". It matches the Rfam family "Bacterial small subunit ribosomal RNA", at positions 30 to 507 of the family's 1533-position model. The record is from RNAcentral.